AUGAAAUGCUAACUGGGCAGGUAAAACAUUGCAUUAGUGUUGACUAUGAAGUCUGUUUAGAGGGCAUUUUCCUUUUUUCUUCAAGGAGUUCAUGGUGAGGGUUUUGCUUUAGCCAACUCCCAUCCCUUCUGUUUUAUACCAAGUGAGAGUGCUAUUUUGGGUACCGAGUUUUUGACAUUGGUUCUGAAAAUGAUCUUAAUAUA
Molecule: unclassified non-coding RNA, 203 nt
Filed under: Hevea brasiliensis (rubber tree)
Lineage: Eukaryota; Viridiplantae; Streptophyta; Magnoliopsida; Malpighiales; Euphorbiaceae
Source: RNAcentral